Rattus norvegicus (Norway rat) is the source of this 2431-nucleotide long non-coding RNA. RefSeq lists it as uncharacterized. The record is from RefSeq and is a predicted model, not a curated record. NCBI's taxonomy places the organism in Eukaryota, Metazoa, Chordata, Mammalia, Rodentia, Muridae.
CCUGGAACAGACCAGCGCCUUGAAGCUGCUGCGCGCACGUUUCCGGAUUCGAUCCUGUCCAUCUUUACAAGCCACGCCCCCUGUGUUUCCUUCAAGGCUUCCGUCAGACGUGACUGCGAAUCAGUUAACACAACAGUCUGUACUAUAAGUCUGCACGCUCCAUGCCUUUGAAUGAUCAUCCAGUGAUCAUUCAUGACUGUUGGCCUGGAAAUGGAGCUGAGAAUUAACUAGUAACGGCUGGAUAGGAUCCAAAGAAGAGGUCAUUUACCAGCUGGAGCCAAGGACUGAUGUGGAGCAUGUGAAGUCGUUGCCUUGCAUGAACUAGGAACUGGUUAGAAGGGCGGACUCUCACGUUGUCCCAUCUUUGGUCGACUGAACCAGAUUCUACAUCUUAAGGCCGCUCCAAGGUGCUUCUAUGCAAAUUAAAGUAUGCGAUCUCACCUCUGUUUUGUGCAGAAGGGCAGAAAAAGAAAAACUCGGAGAGAUAGGAAAACCUUGCAUACUCAUGGACUUCACUGGGCUCUGCCCGUUGACUCACUUUCACAUCUGGCGUUUGUCUGUGUCCAAGUCUCGUCAGGGUUGCACGUGAUGAUGCCGUUGCCUUUGAGCAGGAAGCCUUCUCUGCACUUGAUAGAUACAUUCUGGUUGACGUAAAACUCUCUCUCAGAAAGGAGGGCAUUCUCAGGAAUCACAAAAGGAACAGGGCAUGGAUUUGCUGUAAAAGAUGAGUCAGAUGUUUACUGAGCUGUCUUCUCAUUCUCUAAUUUAUCUCUUUGAAGACAAAGUAGAGGCCUACAGAGCAUGGGUCUUCAAUGACAAUAAUAAUAUAAAUUUUAAGACGAAAAUGGAGUACUCUGGCCUCAAACUCCUGCCCUCCUGACUCAGUCCCACCACGCCCAGCAAAGGGUUUCACGAUUUAGAACUUCAGGCAUCAGCCCAGAUUUGCUUUCCACCCACAUAAAAUUAUUUGUGAAGAUUAAAUAUCAGGCAUAUAAGAAACCAAGGGCCACACUGUCUCUCAAUAUUUGAUGAGUGUCAACAGCAUGGUGAAUUCUGUUGAACUCCAUCCUCUUACUGAACAUGCUUCAGGGAGGACGGGAGUAGAGAAGCAUCAGACCUGGCCGUGCAGGGUGAGCCUGACUUCAGGCCUGCACUGUGAGGAACAGAAUGACAGGACCUCAUGCUGUAUUUGUGGGCCUGAUGGUAAAAACAGGAUGUUUCCACAGCUUAGAAGGAAGCACAGGACGUGUCGCUAGGGCUCGACUUUGCUCAGAGCAAAAGUAUGCCACACAUACGGACACAGGCUUCAAGCUAUUUCGGUUGUUCUGAUUUUAAGUGGAAAGUAAGUUUUGCUGAGGUAGGGCUCUUCUGAAUUCUGAAGGCUGUGUUCACGCACUACAGUACUUUACACACUAGUCAGAAGCCUUCUCACGCUGUAUUCCAUUUGUAUGGUUUUCAUUCAAGUGGUCAAAUUAUCCUUAUUUACCGCAUUUAUAUGUUAUAUAUUAACAUUAGAUUUUAACCGUAUCUUCUUUCUUUCUCCCCCUUUCUUCGUGUCACUGGAACUCACAAUAUCUUCGUUUCAAAAUGCUUUCAUUAAUUUGUAAUUUCUAUUAAUGCUUGAAUUUAAUCAGCAGAGGAAUCUGAUAAAAGCUGACUCGUAGACAGGCUGUUAUAAUAUAUCGUAAGUAGAGUUCUAAAAUAUCCCAUAAAGUUGGGUCUGAUGGCCACAGACGGCCUUCCCGGGACUGAUCUCAUUUAUCAGUAUUUCCCCUUCAAGCAGAGAUAUGUAUGAAACUAGCUGUGGGGCAGAAUGUGAUUAAAACACCCCCUAAAGUCAACACACACGUUUGCAGAGGGGAGCCAGGUGACUCCAGGUUCCAUUUGCAGUGCAGUGUGCCUCAGGGGGCCCUUCCAGGGUGUAGCCUCUGUGACAGGAAAACAGCAGGCUGGGUCCAGAUGUGGUGUUUUCCAAGACAGCCUUCCCAUUGGGAAACUCAGCCGGAGCCUCACAUCUGCUCUCUAAAAGGAAGAAAAGGAAGAAUGCAGUCUGUAUUAAAUACUUUCCCAAAUCCCUUUGGCUUCUCCUGUUAUAUUUGCUUUUUGAAAGUACUCUGUGUGUGUGUGUGUGUGUGUGUGUGUAGUACUCAUAUAUAUAUAUAUAUAUUUAUAUAUUCACCAAACACACACACAUAUAUAUAUAUAUCCAUAUAAACAUAUAUGUCUACUUAUGAAUGAAACACAAUAACAUUCAUUGAUACAGAGAAAACAUACUGCAUGUAUCUGUUGAAUUACCACACGCUCACGGUGAAGAUUGCUAUUUAGUCCUGCGUAGUUCAUCUGUCUUUAUGUAUUUUGCUAAGAGGGGUGGAUGUUGUGGGGUAGUUUAGAUGAACACGUGCAUCAAAUAAAGGAAUCUCAUGGCCGUGAA